UAUUACUCUUAUUGUUUAUUCGCUUAAUACCGGAACAGUACAAAGAUGAUGACGCCAUCUUCCGAAUGGUUAAUACCUAUUCAUUUACGAUUAAUCAGUCACAACUAACAAUAAAUACCGUCAUCAUUUAAAUGUCAGCUUCUAAUAAUUUUAUAACAUUGUAUCGUUUUUAUUGUGAUUAUUAUUUGUUGGAGUACCGGAAGAGCAUAAAGAUGGAGACACCAUCUUCCGAAUAGUUUAUACUAAUUUUCUGAUUGGUCAUUCGCCAUCUUUGUUAUGUAUUGGCGGAAUUGUUGUCCUAUAAAUAUGAUAAUUUGUAUGUGAAGAAGCAGCUAUGCUUAAUUAUUCCGGCUAACGUUGCUACUCGAUACAUGGAGUAUAAGUGAUUAGUGUGACAACUUAAUCAAUAUAGUUAAGAGUGUGUAUUGUGAAUAAAUAACUAUAGAUUUGAAGUGAGAAGAUUCCACUUUGUUUACAAAUAAUGACCAGAAAAAAAAUUGCUUCAACUAGCCCGAAAAAAAUGCCUAUGAAACUGAAACCAACAUAGGCAAAGACAAGGAAAAUUGUCUAGCAUCAUCACUACUAAUUCAGCAACCAUAGACUUCAGGUUUAAACACUAAAAA
Long non-coding RNA from Melitaea cinxia (Glanville fritillary), 623 nucleotides. RefSeq lists it as uncharacterized. The record is from RefSeq and is a predicted model, not a curated record. The transcript has 2 exons. Lineage: Eukaryota; Metazoa; Arthropoda; Insecta; Lepidoptera; Nymphalidae.